Molecule: ribosomal RNA, 545 nt
Filed under: Cryptosporidium andersoni
Lineage: Eukaryota; Apicomplexa; Conoidasida; Eucoccidiorida; Cryptosporidiidae
Description: SSU rRNA
Rfam family: Eukaryotic small subunit ribosomal RNA
Source: RNAcentral
CUAGGCACGACACCUUGAUUGAUCAGGACAACCUUGAUGAAUGGGAGACCCAUGUGAAUUCUUACACACCCAGAGGUGUUUUCUUACACCCACAAUGUGAAAUUCAUAAACAGGGAGGUGUUGUUUCAUAUACCGAUACGGGGGCUAUUGGUCUUGUAAUUGGAGUGAGUGAAGUAUAAACCCCUUUACGAGUAUCAAUUGGAGGGCAAGUCUGGUGCCAGCAGCCGCGGUAAUUCCAGCUCCAAUAGCGUAUAUUAAAGUUGUUGCAGUUAAAAAGCUCGUAGUUGGAUUUCUGUUGUAUAAUUUAUAAUAUUACCAAGGUAAUUAUUAUAUUAUCAACAUCCUUCCUAUUAUAUUCUAAAUAUAUAGGAAAUUUUACUUUGAGAAAAUUAGAGUGCUUAAAGCAGGCAACUGCCUUGAAUACUCCAGCAUGGAAUAAUAAGUAAGGACUUUUGUCUUUCUUAUUGGUUCUAGGACAAAAGUAAUGGUUAAUAGGGACAGUUGGGGGCAUUCGUAUUUAACAGUCAGAGGUGAAAUUCUUAGAA